Schistosoma mansoni is the source of this 78-nucleotide microRNA precursor. It matches the Rfam family "mir-3492 microRNA precursor family". The record is from Rfam. NCBI's taxonomy places the organism in Eukaryota, Metazoa, Platyhelminthes, Trematoda, Strigeidida, Schistosomatidae.
AGCUUUUUGAAUCCGUGCUGAGAUGUCGGCAGACACCAACCCAUUAGGACUGAUCAGACUUCCAAGACAAGUGAAGUU